RNAcentral lists this ribosomal RNA (1447 nucleotides) under Klebsiella pneumoniae. Its description in RNAcentral is "bacterial SSU rRNA". It matches the Rfam family "Bacterial small subunit ribosomal RNA". Lineage: Bacteria; Pseudomonadati; Pseudomonadota; Gammaproteobacteria; Enterobacterales; Enterobacteriaceae. The record is from RNAcentral.
ACGCUGGCGGCAGGCCUAACACAUGCAAGUCGAGCGGUAGCACAGAGAGCUUGCUCUCGGGUGACGAGCGGCGGACGGGUGAGUAAUGUCUGGGAAACUGCCUGAUGGAGGGGGAUAACUACUGGAAACGGUAGCUAAUACCGCAUAAUGUCGCAAGACCAAAGUGGGGGACCUUCGGGCCUCAUGCCAUCAGAUGUGCCCAGAUGGGAUUAGCUAGUAGGUGGGGUAACGGCUCACCUAGGCGACGAUCCCUAGCUGGUCUGAGAGGAUGACCAGCCACACUGGAACUGAGACACGGUCCAGACUCCUACGGGAGGCAGCAGUGGGGAAUAUUGCACAAUGGGCGCAAGCCUGAUGCAGCCAUGCCGCGUGUGUGAAGAAGGCCUUCGGGUUGUAAAGCACUUUCAGCGGGGAGGAAGGCGGUGAGGUUAAUAACCUCAUCGAUUGACGUUACCCGCAGAAGAAGCACCGGCUAACUCCGUGCCAGCAGCCGCGGUAAUACGGAGGGUGCAAGCGUUAAUCGGAAUUACUGGGCGUAAAGCGCACGCAGGCGGUCUGUCAAGUCGGAUGUGAAAUCCCCGGGCUCAACCUGGGAACUGCAUUCGAAACUGGCAGGCUAGAGUCUUGUAGAGGGGGGUAGAAUUCCAGGUGUAGCGGUGAAAUGCGUAGAGAUCUGGAGGAAUACCGGUGGCGAAGGCGGCCCCCUGGACAAAGACUGACGCUCAGGUGCGAAAGCGUGGGGAGCAAACAGGAUUAGAUACCCUGGUAGUCCACGCCGUAAACGAUGUCGAUUUGGAGGUUGUGCCCUUGAGGCGUGGCUUCCGGAGCUAACGCGUUAAAUCGACCGCCUGGGGAGUACGGCCGCAAGGUUAAAACUCAAAUGAAUUGACGGGGGCCCGCACAAGCGGUGGAGCAUGUGGUUUAAUUCGAUGCAACGCGAAGAACCUUACCUGGUCUUGACAUCCACAGAACUUUCCAGAGAUGGAUUGGUGCCUUCGGGAACUGUGAGACAGGUGCUGCAUGGCUGUCGUCAGCUCGUGUUGUGAAAUGUUGGGUUAAGUCCCGCAACGAGCGCAACCCUUAUCCUUUGUUGCCAGCGGUUCGGCCGGGAACUCAAAGGAGACUGCCAGUGAUAAACUGGAGGAAGGUGGGGAUGACGUCAAGUCAUCAUGGCCCUUACGACCAGGGCUACACACGUGCUACAAUGGCAUAUACAAAGAGAAGCGACCUCGCGAGAGCAAGCGGACCUCAUAAAGUAUGUCGUAGUCCGGAUUGGAGUCUGCAACUCGACUCCAUGAAGUCGGAAUCGCUAGUAAUCGUAGAUCAGAAUGCUACGGUGAAUACGUUCCCGGGCCUUGUACACACCGCCCGUCACACCAUGGGGAGUGGGUUGCAAAAGAAGUAGGUAGCUUAACCUUCGGGAGGGCGCUUACCACUUUGUGAUUCA